Molecule: long non-coding RNA, 768 nt
Organism: Polypterus senegalus (gray bichir)
Lineage: Eukaryota; Metazoa; Chordata; Cladistia; Polypteriformes; Polypteridae
Exons: 2
Source: RefSeq, a predicted model, not a curated record
AUUCCGAUAUAAAUGGUGUUCAGAGGCGGAGUUAUUGAACAGAGUUGAUGACGUCAGUGUUAGUCCAUAAUUAAGCUCCACCCACGCAUUUCACUUCGGUUGGAGACGAAGGACACAAGUUGGCGGCGUCGUCGUCCUCCUCUCAAGCAGUUCUACACGACUUCUCUACAUGUUCCUUGUCUUCUGUUUCUGAGAUGUCCGAUUCAGGCUGAAACUCAAAUGCACCAACUGUAAUAGAAGAUGAGGUCCCUAGCAAGAGACGAGAAUUCAGGAUGGUGCAUUGUCUUCUGCACAGGUUUUAACACAGCUUGAUUUCUCUGGAGAUUCUUAACACGUUCCUCACUCGGCCUCUAGUAAAGCUGUGUAUCGCCAUGGUUUGCAUUCUCAUGCUUUUCUUUUUAUUGGUUGAUAGAAGAUGUGCUAAGAGCCAAGUCUGGUGGUGAAAAAGUACUACAGGAGUAGCAAACAUCAGAAACCUAACAGAUAGCACAAGAAGACAAAUGAUUAACAUACUGGUGACUCACAUGAUUGAUAAAUAUGGCUGUGUUUUUAUAUUCUUCUUAUUUGUGCUGAAUAGCUGCAUGUCCACUGCACAGAUUUCGAUUAUUAAUUUAAUAAUCUUCUCUCAGGCUCCAUCCUACUAAAGCAAUCUGAGAAGAGUAUGCUCUUGGGAUAGUGACCCUGCCCUUCCCUCAAGGAUCCAUAUACCAAGAGAGGCUGUGUAAUAAUCAUCAUCAUCAUCAUCCUCUUUAAUAAAACCCUUGUGUG